Oreochromis aureus is the source of this 988-nucleotide long non-coding RNA. RefSeq lists it as uncharacterized. Lineage: Eukaryota; Metazoa; Chordata; Actinopteri; Cichliformes; Cichlidae. The transcript has 2 exons. The record is from RefSeq and is a predicted model, not a curated record.
UUUUCUACCAGCUAAAAGGAGGUGAAAGUUUUGGUCCCCUCACACCGCGGAUCGCCUUUACUUUGUCUAAUUGGGGUGUUUUGAGCCUCAUCGCUACGCCCGAAGUGCAGAAGAGCCUGCGGGAAACGAGCUCGCAACAACCGAGAACCAGGGAUCAACAACAACUCGCGUCGCUUUCCCUAUGUGCAUAUCACUCGACUCUCAUUUAAGCCAGAUGUGUUAACCUGAUCCCUGCGAAACACCAGCUCUCCGUGGAUUUUGACCGCGAGUGACCGGAUGUUGUUUCCGGCCUGAGGUUGCCUGAAAUGCCGUGAGGCUCGUUUGAAAGAUUGCGCCUGAGACCAACUCCGCCUCCAAGGCGUGCCUACCUUUAGCUGCCAGCAGUGAGAUAUCAGAGCCGGGCUCCACAUAUCCAAUCAGGAGCACGAGCAAGACAGCUUUUGCAGACUCUCCAGAAAUAUACAAGUCCUUACCAACUGCUCUGCAACCCAGUGUUUCUGGUCCCCUCACCAACAUCGCUUUUUGAGAUAUUUUUUUUACGAACCACCAAAAAAGCAAUUUUACCCCCCAGUACAGAAGACUGGAUCUGAGGGCAGCAGCGGGGACAAAUGAUUGUAAUGAAGCGACAGACAUUUCAUGGCUGGUCUUAGAUAAUUGUGAGUCAUUGUGUCUUAUGGUGAAAAGUACAUAGUUUUGCAAGAGGCAUACAAGCACUGUGGAAAAAGUAAUCAUAAAACUGUUUUUGUGAACACUCUGCUCCCUACGUUAUGCUUUAAAAAAUGUGAUACAUGUAAUGUGAUCAUCAAAGAACAUGACUUUUUUAAAACUUUUAUUCUUAUGCUUUUAAACUAUGUCACAUUAUCAUAAAAUACUUAUUUGUAUGUUAUAAUGUUUUUCUUACACCAUGUGUAAUUUUUAUAGACACCUUGUUCAUUGUAUCAAUGUGUAAUUAUGUAUCUUUGAUAAAUAAAUAAAAUAUUUAAUCUUG